This 1128-nucleotide ribosomal RNA is filed under the name Clostridioides difficile. Its description in RNAcentral is "bacterial LSU rRNA". It matches the Rfam family "Bacterial large subunit ribosomal RNA", at positions 1795 to 2925 of the family's 2925-position model. Lineage: Bacteria; Bacillati; Bacillota; Clostridia; Peptostreptococcales; Peptostreptococcaceae. The record is from RNAcentral.
AGCGACUGUUUACCAAAAACAUAGGUUUCUGCUAAGUCGCAAGACGAUGUAUAGGAGCUGACGCCUGCCCGGUGCUGGAAGGUUAAGGGGAUCUGUUAGAGCAAUCGAAGCAGUGAACUUAAGCCCCAGUAAACGGCGGCCGUAACUAUAACGGUCCUAAGGUAGCGAAAUUCCUUGUCGGGUAAGUUCCGACCCGCACGAAAGGCGUAACGAUUUGGGCACUGUCUCAACAACAGACUCGGUGAAAUUGUAAUUCCGGUGAAGAUGCCGGAUACCUGCGACAGGACGGAAAGACCCCAUGGAGCUUUACUGUAGCUUGACAUUGGGUCUUGGUACUACAUGUACAGGAUAGGUGGGAGGCUUUGAAACCAGGACGCCAGUUUUGGCGGAGCCAUCCUUGGGAUACCACCCUUGUAGUACUGGGACUCUAACCAUAGGCCAUGAAUCUGGUCUUGGGACACUGUCAGGUGGGCAGUUUGACUGGGGCGGUCGCCUCCCAAAAGGUAACGGAGGCGCUCAAAGGUUCUCUCAGUACGGUCGGAAAUCGUACGUAGAGUGUAAAGGCAAAAGAGAGCUUGAUUGCAAGACAUACAGGUCGAGCAAGGAUGAAAAUCGGACUUAGUGAUCCGGUGGUUCUGCGUGGAAGGGCCAUCGCUCAACGGAUAAAAGCUACCCUGGGGAUAACAGGCUUAUCUCCCCCAAGAGUCCACAUCGACGGGGAGGUUUGGCACCUCGAUGUCGGCUCAUCACAUCCUGGGGCUGUAGUAGGUCCCAAGGGUUGGGCUGUUCGCCCAUUAAAGUGGUACGCGAGCUGGGUUCAGAACGUCGUGAGACAGUUCGGUCCCUAUCCGUCGCAGGCGUAGGAAAUUUGAGAAGACCUGUCCUUAGUACGAGAGGACCGGGAUGGACGUACCUCUGGUGUACCAGUUGUCCUGCCAAGGGCAUGGCUGGGUAGCUAUGUACGGAAUGGAUAAGCGCUGAAAGCAUCUAAGCGCGAAGCCAACUUCAAGAUAAGAUUUCCCACCGCAAGGGUAAGACCCCAGAAAGACUAUCUGGUUGAUAGGUCGAAGGUGUAAGUGCAGCAAUGUAUUUAGCUUAUCGAUACUAAUAGGUCGAGGACUUGACCAA